Molecule: long non-coding RNA, 675 nt
Filed under: Ananas comosus (pineapple)
Lineage: Eukaryota; Viridiplantae; Streptophyta; Magnoliopsida; Poales; Bromeliaceae
Description: long non-coding RNA (ACOM_LNC032442)
Source: RNAcentral
UGGUCCGUGGAGAGCAAGUCCAACUGGCAUGAGCGACACCAACGCGAAAGCACAAAGCCUGACUCCGGAGUGGCACUCGUGGGCGCUACCCAACCGAGUAUGCAGCGUAUCUCUGUCGAGCUCAAUCAGGCUCCAACUAGCCAAAGUCAAGUAAAUAGGGUCAAAACUAGUCUACAAACCAAACCCACGUGCCCUCGGCACAAUCUGUGACCAAAACAAGAAUCUGGGUCCACCGCUAACCCGAACGGCACCCAACGACCCGAAACAGCCUAUACUCUGCUGAAAAAUAAGCUCGGCACCCCAGCACGAGCGUAAAUGCCUUCUAAACUACCCCAGAUAUCCAUCGCACUGAUACUGCAACGAUACAAUCGAAUCACGGCUCCUAGAGCUAAAUCUGGUAGUUUAAGCAUAUGACGGGUCAAAACGCAGGUUUUCUCCUAAGUCAAAUUUCAAGUCCAACAUGUAUAAUUUAAAUAUUCAUUUCAGCAUACUUCUACAUUCAUAUUACAUUCAAGAUGCUAAUCGAUGAAUUAAAGCAUGAUAUACAAAAAUCGAACUAUACACAUCGACUAAACAUGCACUUAGGAGCGAAACCGAUGAUACACCCACCUCGAGAGCAAAUUCCUGGCAGCACGGAACUCCCUCAGCUGCGGCACAACCUGCUGGAUCGACUGA